CAACUUGAGAGUUUGAUCCUGGCUCAGAACGAACGCUGGCGGCAUGCCUAACACAUGCAAGUCGAACGAGAAGCUACCUUCGGGUGGUGGACAGUGGCGCACGGGUGAGUAACACGUGGGGACCUGCCUGAUAGUAAGGGACAACAGCUGGAAACGGCUGCUAAUACCUUAUACGCCCUUCGGGGGAAAGAUUUAUCGCUAUCAGAUGGACCCGCGCUAGAUUAGAUAGUUGGUGAGGUAAUGGCUCACCAAGUCUGCGAUCUAUAGCUGGUUUGAGAAGAUGAUCAGCCACAUUGGGACUGAGACACGGCCCAGACUCCUACGGGAGGCAG
Molecule: ribosomal RNA, 332 nt
Filed under: Emcibacter sp.
Lineage: Bacteria; Pseudomonadati; Pseudomonadota; Alphaproteobacteria; Emcibacterales; Emcibacteraceae
Description: bacterial SSU rRNA
Rfam family: Bacterial small subunit ribosomal RNA
Source: RNAcentral